UGGAAACGUUCAGGUCAUGUUGCUGAC
RNAcentral lists this small RNA (27 nucleotides) under Bombyx mori (domestic silkworm). RNAcentral's name for it is "ovarian small RNA-34371". Lineage: Eukaryota; Metazoa; Arthropoda; Insecta; Lepidoptera; Bombycidae. The record is from RNAcentral.